UACGUAGGAUGCAAGCGUUAUCCGGAAUUAUUGGGCGUAAAGAGCUCGUAGGCGGUUUGUCACGUCUGCUGUGAAAACUGGAGGCUCAACCUCCAGCCUGCAGUGGGUACGGGCAGACUAGAGUGCGGUAGGGGAGAUUGGAAUUCCUGGUGUAGCGGUGGAAUGCGCAGAUAUCAGGAGGAACACCGAUGGCGAAGGCAGAUCUCUGGGCCGUAACUGACGCUGAGGAGCGAAAGCAUGGGGAGCAAACGGG
Molecule: ribosomal RNA, 253 nt
Filed under: uncultured bacterium
Lineage: Bacteria
Description: partial 16S ribosomal RNA
Rfam family: Bacterial small subunit ribosomal RNA
Source: RNAcentral